Molecule: non-coding RNA, 503 nt
Organism: Gopherus flavomarginatus (Mexican gopher tortoise)
Lineage: Eukaryota; Metazoa; Chordata; Testudines; Testudinidae
Source: the annotation of a RefSeq genome assembly
CGAAUACUGGUGUCCAAUGUCUGAGGAGCAGCAUAUGCGGCCUUAGAGAGACGAUGCGUCGUGCUCUGCGAUCAGUGAGUUUGCAGGGCAGGAAGAUGCCGGUGCGACUGUGGCUGCUUCUCACCUUCCUGACCCUCCCGCACUACGGGCGCUCUCAGACUCUCCACCAGACCCCCCGAUUCAUUUCUCUGUCUCCCGGCUCCUCCGUCCAGCUGCACUGCUACCUGCAGGGAUACAGUUCAACCUCCUGGAUGUACUGGUACCGGCAGCCUCCCCAGGGAGGAGCCCUGCACCUGCUCUUUCUCUCCAGAGGCAAGGAUAUGAUUGACGACAGUUCGGAGAAACACUUUAAAGCUGCCCGACCGACCCAGCAGAACUUCACGCUGAGCACAGAUAGCCUCUUCCCCAACCACACGGGGCUCUAUUACUGCGCCUGGAGCCGCACACUGAGCCAAGCGGGUGCAGCCCCUGGACAAAAACUCUCCCUCCCCCAUUCCCUGUGA